UGGAACUUAGAAUGUAGUUACUUUCCUUCAAAUUAUUGGUGAAAUACUUCUGUGCUGACCCUGUAUCACUGUUGACAACGUGGAAAAAAUUUUUAGAUCAAUCAUUUUUACAAGAAAGCCAACAUCAAACCCUGGCACAGCAUUCUAAGAUGAGAGUAAAUAAUCUGAGAAGACUGAAUAAAUAAGAGAAUCCAAAGAACUUCAGAGAGACACGGACAUUGUUAAGAUCACACAUUUGAUUUGUGGAACCCUGAGUCAGCUAGGGUCAGGUCUGAGUGUGUGUAACUAAGACAUGGAUAAUUAGGGCAGCUCAAGAUAAAAGGCUGCACCUCUAUUGACCAAAGACGUCUCGACAGGCUGUCAAAGACUGUCCUGGUAGCCCAGUCUCCUCCCAGUUCACUGCUCUUCCUGAGAGGCCCUUCUCCCUCUGAGAUGAUGGCCAGAGCUCCUGCUGUUGAGCCAGAACUGCAAUAUCAAGAAGGAAGAAGAGUGGAGGGGAAAGGGACACAUGGCAUUCAUCGCCAGGUAUGGAACCUGAGGCAGAACUACAUUUUUCAGAACUAUACAUUAGAAUAUCAAACUACAUUGCAGUAACAAAACCAUAAAAUGGAUAUCAUUUAACCUCAGCAGGAAAAGACUUUAAAUGAGCUGAGGUCACCACUGUGACGAGCAAUGCGCCGUGAGCAGACACGAGUGCGGUUGGGGGAACUAUGGAUGCAUGCUAUCAGCAUGCCCACCUGCUCUAAGUUUCACCUGAUGAGCUGCUCUGACUCAAAUCAAAUGUGCAACAAACCAAAAUGAACUGGUGCUCCACCCACAUACACGUUCUGUCUGAAGGCUGCUCACUAAAAGAACGGGAAGAAGAAACCACCCUGGGAAUGAAGCCUGGGGAGCAGCUGUGGCCACUUGCACACGGUGGCAGGACUUGCUCUCUUCUGGCAAGAGAAAAAUGAAACCAUUGGCAACCAACACGGAAGCCUAACUGAAGGGAUAAUGAGCUAACCAGCGCCUGUAGUUGGGGUGGUAAGAUGGUCUGUCUUCCAACAGCAAAGCAAAGAAAGCUGCAGAUUCACAGACAUAAGGAAGCUACAGAUCUGUCAUAGCCUUUCCUUAUAACUGACCUUCAAGAUUCAUAUCCCAACAUCAAGCUAAGGCUUGAGCACUGUACUUCUGACAUAUAUUCUCCCAAACUGGAGUUACUGUGUCCAAGAAUGAAAUAUAUACUGGAA
Long non-coding RNA from Peromyscus maniculatus bairdii (prairie deer mouse), 1229 nucleotides. RefSeq lists it as uncharacterized. NCBI's taxonomy places the organism in Eukaryota, Metazoa, Chordata, Mammalia, Rodentia, Cricetidae. The record is from RefSeq and is a predicted model, not a curated record.